GAGCGGAUCGAAUAGAAGCUUGCUUCGAUUCGGUUAGCGGCGGACGGGUGAGUAACACGUGGGCAACCUGCCCGGAAGACCGGGAUAACUUCGGGAAACCGGAGCUAAUACCGGAUAACACCGAAUGCCGCAUGGUCUUUGGUUGAAAGGCGGCUUAGGCUGUCGCUUCCGGAUGGGCCCGCGGCGCAUUAGCUAGUUGGUGAGGUAACGGCUCACCAAGGCGACGAUGCGUAGCCGACCUGAGAGGGUGAUCGGCCACACUGGGACUGAGACACGGCCCAGACUCCUACGGGAGGCAGCAGUAGGGAAUCUUCCGCAAUGGACGAAAGUCUGACGGAGCAACGCCGCGUGAGCGAAGAAGGUCUUCGGAUUGUAAAGCUCUGUUGUUAGGGAAGAACAAGUACCGCAGUAACUGGCGGUACCUUGACGGUACCUAACGAGAAAGCCACGGCUAACUACGUGCCAGCAGCCGCGGUAAUACGUAGGUGGCAAGCGUUGUCCGGAAUUAUUGGGCGUAAAGCGCGCGCAGGCGGUCCUUUAAGUCUGAUGUGAAAGCCCACGGCUCAACCGUGGAGGGUCAUUGGAAACUGGGGGA
Molecule: ribosomal RNA, 595 nt
Filed under: uncultured archaeon
Lineage: Archaea
Description: bacterial SSU rRNA
Rfam family: Bacterial small subunit ribosomal RNA
Source: RNAcentral